GCCUGAGUGGCUCAGGGGUAGAGCAAUUCACUCGUAAUGAAUCGGUCGCGGGUUCGAUUCCCGCCUCAGGCUCCA
Molecule: transfer RNA, 75 nt
Filed under: Clostridiaceae bacterium
Lineage: Bacteria; Bacillati; Bacillota; Clostridia; Eubacteriales; Clostridiaceae
Also listed under: 1 other name
Description: tRNA-Thr
Rfam family: tRNA
About the family: Transfer RNA (tRNA) molecules are approximately 80 nucleotides in length. Their secondary structure includes four short double-helical elements and three loops (D, anti-codon, and T loops). Further hydrogen bonds mediate the characteristic L-shaped molecular structure. tRNAs have two regions of fundamental functional importance: the anti-codon, which is responsible for specific mRNA codon recognition, and the 3' end, to which the tRNAs corresponding amino acid is attached (by aminoacyl-tRNA synthetases). tRNAs cope with the degeneracy of the genetic code in two manners: having more than one tRNA (with a specific anti-codon) for a particular amino acid; and 'wobble' base-pairing, i.e. permitting non-standard base-pairing at the 3rd anti-codon position.
Source: RNAcentral